UGGGGAAUUUUGCACAAUGGGGGAAACCCUGAUGCAGCGACGCCGCGUGUACGAUGAAGAUCUUCGGAUUGUAAAGUACUGUCCUUGGUGAAGAUAAUGACUGUAACCAAGAAGCAAGCCCUGGCUAAAUACGUGCCAGCAGCCGCGGUAAUACGUAUGGGGCAAGCGUUGUCCGGAAUUAUUGGGCGUAAAGGGUACGUAGGCGGUUAUUUAAGUCUAAAUUAAAAGGCAUUGGCUCAACCAAUGUAAGGUUUAGAUACUGGGUAACUUGAGGAGAUGAGGGGGAAGUGGAAUUCCAUGUGUAGCGGUGAAAUGCGUAGAUAUUAAAAAGAAUACCGGUGGCGAAGGCGGCUUACUGGGCUCAUUCUGACGCUGAGGAACGAAAGCGUGGGUAGCAAACAGG
Molecule: ribosomal RNA, 403 nt
Filed under: Fusobacteriota bacterium
Lineage: Bacteria; Fusobacteriati; Fusobacteriota
Description: Fusobacteria bacterium partial 16S ribosomal RNA
Rfam family: Bacterial small subunit ribosomal RNA
Source: RNAcentral